UAGUGGCGAACGGGUGAGUAACACGUGGGCAAUCUGCCCUGCACUCUGGGACAAGCCCUGGAAACGGGGUCUAAUACCGGAUACUGAUCCUCGCAGGCAUCUGCGAGGUUCGAAAGCUCCGGCGGUGCAGGAUGAGCCCGCGGCCUAUCAGCUAGUUGGUGAGGUAACGGCUCACCAAGGCGACGACGGGUAGCCGGCCUGAGAGGGCGACCGGCCACACUGGGACUGAGACACGGCCCAGACUCCUACGGGAGGCAGCAGUGGGGAAUAUUGCACAAUGGGCGAAAGCCUGAUGCAGCGACGCCGCGUGAGGGAUGACGGCCUUCGGGUUGUAAACCUCUUUCAGCAGGGAAGAAGCGAAAGUGACGGUACCUGCAGAAGAAGCGCCGGCUAACUACGUGCCAGCAGCCGCGGUAAUACGUAGGGCGCAAGCGUUGUCCGGAAUUAUUGGGCGUAAAGAGCUCGUAGGCGGCUUGUCACGUCGGUUGUGAAAGCCCGGGGCUUAACCCCGGGUCUGCAGUCGAUACGGGCAGGCUAGAGUUCGGUAGGGGAGAUCGGAAUUCCUGGUGUAGCGGUGAAAUGCGCAGAUAUCAGGAGGAACACCGGUGGCGAAGGCGGAUCUCUGGGCCGAUACUGACGCUGAGGAGCGAAAGCGUGGGGAGCGAACAGGAUUAGAUACCCUGGUAGUCCACGCCGUAAACGGUGGGCACUAGGUGUGGGCAACAUUCCACGUUGUCCGUGCCGCAGCUAACGCAUUAAGUGCCCCGCCUGGGGAGUACGGCCGCAAGGCUAAAACUCAAAGGAAUUGACGGGGGCCCGCACAAGCGGCGGAGCAUGUGGCUUAAUUCGACGCAACGCGAAGAACCUUACCAAGGCUUGACAUACACCGGAAAACCCUGGAGACAGGGUCCCCCUUGUGGUCGGUGUACAGGUGGUGCAUGCCUGUCGUCAGCUCGUGUCGUGAGAUGUUGGGUUAAGUCCCGCAACGAGCGCAACCCUCGUCCCGUGUUGCCAGCAGGCCCCUGUGGUGCUGGGGACUCACGGGAGACCGCCAGGGUCAACUCGGAGGAAGGUGGGGACGACGUCAAGUCAUCAUGCCCCUUAUGUCUUGGGCUGCACACGUGCUACAAUGGCCGGUACAAUGAGCUGCGAUACCGCGAGGUGGAGCGAAUCUCAAAAAGCCGGUCUCAGUUCGGAUUGGGGUCUGCAACUCGACCCCAUGAAGUCGGAGUCGCUAGUAAUCGCAGAUCAGCAUU
This 1256-nucleotide ribosomal RNA is filed under the name Streptomyces sp. RNAcentral's name for it is "bacterial SSU rRNA". It matches the Rfam family "Bacterial small subunit ribosomal RNA", at positions 93 to 1356 of the family's 1533-position model. The record is from RNAcentral. Lineage: Bacteria; Bacillati; Actinomycetota; Actinomycetes; Kitasatosporales; Streptomycetaceae.